AUGCUCAUGUACGUCGAUCUUCUUGAUCUGUCCACUGUCGACUUUACUGAGAUAGGAGGCCCGCCGCCUUCACAUAAGUUUGCUAUCUCUGCGUGGACGUACAAUGGUGUCAAGGUUGUGCUUGCCGCAGACAGGAUAUCUGAUACAAAAUAUGGAAAACUGCAGCUGAUGGCCAAGCAUGCUAUAGAUUACAGUGUGUUUGGUGGGCCACAAAACUUUGGCAAGUGGAUGGAUGUGCAUUCAGCUCUAUCUUGUUCUGCUGAGGCGAGGGCACCUGUUGAGCACCUAGUUGGGCAGUUUGCUUCCGGCAUGACCAGCUUGCUCGGGAAGUUGGUUGAGGGUUGGGCGACACUUAAUGGUUCUGAUAGUGACGUGUGUUUUGUAGAAAAAGAAUAUCAAACGGAGUCCAAACGGAAUGAAACCUUCGGGAACGUGAUUUUCGGAACAAACGUGAUUCAGAGGACUUGGAGUGGACGUCAAGCAACAGACGAGGAAGCCAUGAGGUAG
This 507-nucleotide ribosomal RNA is filed under the name Triticum aestivum (bread wheat). RNAcentral's name for it is "partial small subunit ribosomal RNA". Lineage: Eukaryota; Viridiplantae; Streptophyta; Magnoliopsida; Poales; Poaceae. The record is from RNAcentral.